ACGGGUGAGGAAUACAUCGGAAUCUACCUUUUCGUGGGGGAUAACGUAGGGAAACUUACGCUAAUACCGCAUACGACCUUCGGGUGAAAGCAGGGGACCUUCGGGCCUUGCGCGGAUAGAUGAGCCGAUGUCGGAUUAGCUAGUUGGCGGGGUAAAGGCCCACCAAGGCGACGAUCCGUAGCUGGUCUGAGAGGAUGAUCAGCCACACUGGAACUGAGACACGGUCCAGACUCCUACGGGAGGCAGCAGUGGGGAAUAUUGGACAAUGGGCGCAAGCCUGAUCCAGCCAUACCGCGUGGGUGAAGAAGGCCUUCGGGUUGUAAAGCCCUUUUGUUGGGAAAGAAAAGCAAUCGAUUAAUACUCGGUUGUUCUGACGGUACCCAAAGAAUAAGCACCGGCUAACUUCGUGCCAGCAGCCGCGGUAAUACGAAGGGUGCAAGCGUUACUCGGAAUUACUGGGCGUAAAGCGUGCGUAGGUGGUUGUUUAAGUCUGUUGUGAAAGCCCUGGGCUCAACCUGGGAAUUGCAGUGGAUACUGGGCGACUAGAGUGUGGUAGAGGGUAGUGGAAUUCCCGGUGUAGC
RNAcentral lists this ribosomal RNA (581 nucleotides) under Lysobacteraceae bacterium StRD476. RNAcentral's name for it is "bacterial SSU rRNA". It matches the Rfam family "Bacterial small subunit ribosomal RNA", at positions 102 to 679 of the family's 1533-position model. The record is from RNAcentral. Lineage: Bacteria; Pseudomonadati; Pseudomonadota; Gammaproteobacteria; Lysobacterales; Lysobacteraceae.